Molecule: small nuclear RNA, 18 nt
Filed under: Arabidopsis thaliana (thale cress)
Lineage: Eukaryota; Viridiplantae; Streptophyta; Magnoliopsida; Brassicales; Brassicaceae
Description: snRNA_08061
Source: RNAcentral
GAGUCGGGGGAAACCCGU